RNAcentral lists this long non-coding RNA (1403 nucleotides) under Parus major (Great Tit). RNAcentral's name for it is "lncRNA (ENSPMJG00000003061.1)". Lineage: Eukaryota; Metazoa; Chordata; Aves; Passeriformes; Paridae. The record is from RNAcentral.
AGAUAUCAGACUUUGUCAGAAUUGGAAUUAAAAGUUCUCAGUCCUGAUUUCAGUCCUGCCAGGGAGGAACAGAAUGAGAUAUCAGACUUUGUUGGAAUUGGGCUCUUUUCCCAUUUUGUGGUGUUUUUCCCACCCUUCAUCACACGGCUCCGUUGUCAGUGCAUGGCCAGGCAUGCUGAGGUUUUGAAAUUGUUCAGAUUACUCUGAUUUAGCGUGAAAUUUUGGGGUGUUUUUCCUAUUCCCCUCCACCCUUGCAAAAACUUGGGAAAGGGAUUGGACCUUACAAUUCUUUGUGUGCUUCUUUGAGAAGCUUUAUGCUGUUUGGGGAAUAUUAUCCUGAUUUUGUGAUUGCAGAGAAAGUGGAUUUUCAGGCUUCAGGAUUGGGAGCUGUAGCACUGAAAUCCCCACAUUCUGCUGUCCUAGAGCCACCCUGGGCUCUGCUCGGGGGAUCCCUGGAUCCCUCCUGCACUGAACACACACCAGUAUGUGUUUAUUGCCUCUUACAGCUCAUUAUCACACUAAUUAUUCCCAGUUUUCCCUCUCCCUGCCCCCCGGUCGGGCACAGGGAGGGGUCACAGGUGUGCAGACUCUGGUCAAACGCCUUUCCCAGCUGCUGGCUCACCUCUCUCUGCUUUUCCCUGCAGAUCUACGAGGGCACAGCCCAGAUCCAGCGAGUGAUCAUUGCCCGUGAGCACCUGGGCAGAGGCUCAUCCAUCCCCUGAGUGCAUCCCACUGACUGAUCAUCCCUAAAUCCUCCAGGAAUCACAUCGCUCUUCCCAAACCUCCCUUUGGCUUUCAGCAGCAAAGGAGACCAAACCCUUCCCCAGCAAACCUGGAUGAGCAGAGAGUGAACCAAAGUCUCAUUUUGUUAAAAUUUAUUUUUGCCAGUGACAGCAAAAGUCCUGCACGUCCCAGGGGUUGGAUUUGGGAUGUUUCCAUGUUUUUAACAGCACCAAUCCGCUCUCUUUGUGUAUUCCUGGGGCUUGGGUGAUGGCAGCUGGAUCAACCUCAGGGAAUUUUAAAAAAUCUGACUUUUCCUGCUGUGGCAGGGCCCAGAUGGCUCUGUCACUCAGGCUCCAGGGCCCUGCUUCCCAAGAGCCUUUCAACAUCCAGAUCUAAAGGAAAACUAAGGUGAAUCCAUGUUUCUCGAGCCAGAAUUCCUUGUUAGGGGUGAGCGGUGAUGAUGGUGUGUGAGAGGGGCUACGGGUGUGGCAGGAAAGGAGAAGGAUGGGGCAGGGGGAAGGUGGAUUUACUGAUCCUGUGGAAAAGCGUGCAGGAAAUGGGCUGGUUUUGGGCAUCGAAGCUGGCUGAGCCAGGGAUGAGACUUGUGUGGCACAGAGGGAUUCCCUGGAAAAAGGCUGGAGUCACUGCCAGGUCCCAAUAAACACUGCUGGUGAUUUGCA